CCUACGGGAGGCAGCAGUGGGGAAUCUUGCGCAAUGGGCGAAAGCCUGACGCAGCCAUGCCGCGUGAAUGAUGAAGGUCUUAGGAUUGUAAAAUUCUUUCACCGGGGACGAUAAUGACGGUACCCGGAGAAGAAGCCCCGGCUAACUUCGUGCCAGCAGCCGCGGUAAUACGAAGGGGGCUAGCGUUGCUCGGAAUUACUGGGCGUAAAGGGAGCGUAGGCGGAUAGUUUAGCCAGAGGUGAAAGCCCAGGGCUCAACCUUGGAAUUGCCUUUGAUACUGGCUAUCUUGAGUACGGAAGAGGUAUGUGGAACUCCGAGUGUAGAGGUGAAAUUCGUAGAUAUUCGGAAGAACACCAGUGGCGAAGGCGACAUACUGGUCCGUUACUGACGCUGAGGCUCGAAAGCGUGGGGAGCAAACAGGAUUAGAUACCCUGGUAGUCCACGCUGUAAACGAUGAGUGCUAGUUGUCGGCAGGCAUGCCUGUCGGUGACGCAGCUACGCAUAAGUACACUCCGCCGUCGGGGAGGUACGGUCGCGAAGAAUUAAAACUAACAAAUAGAAGUUAGACGGCGUGAGACGUGCCGAACGGACGACGACGAGGGGAGGUAGG
This 610-nucleotide ribosomal RNA is filed under the name uncultured bacterium. RNAcentral's name for it is "bacterial SSU rRNA". The stretch from base 1 to 517 matches the Rfam family "Bacterial small subunit ribosomal RNA", at positions 338 to 873 of the family's 1533-position model. The record is from RNAcentral.